Molecule: ribosomal RNA, 447 nt
Filed under: uncultured bacterium
Lineage: Bacteria
Description: partial 16S ribosomal RNA
Rfam family: Bacterial small subunit ribosomal RNA
Source: RNAcentral
GCCAGACUCCUACGGGAGGCAGCAGUGAGGGAUAUUGCACAAUGGGGGGAACCCUGAUGCAGCGACGCCGCGUGGGUGAAGGAGCGUUUCGGCGCGUAAAGCCCUAUCGGCAGGGAAGAAGGAGGACGGUACCUGACUAAGAAGCCCCGGCUAACUACGUGCCAGCAGCCGCGGUAAUACGUAGGGGGCAAGCGUUAUCCGGAUUUACUGGGUGUAAAGGGGGCGCAGACGGCAGCGCAAGCCAGGAGUGAAAGCCCGGGGCCCAACCCCGGGACUGCUCUUGGAACUGCGCGGCUGGAGUGCAGGAGGGGCAGGCGGAAUUCCUGGUGUAGCGGUGAAAUGCGUAGAUAUCAGGAGGAACACCGGUGGCGAAGGCGGCCUGCUGGACUGCGACUGACGUUGAGGCCCGAAAGCGUGGGGAGCAAACAGGAUUAGAUACCCUAGUAU